UCAAAUUGGAUAGCUUAGAAUGUGACAUAAAAUUUGAAUUUUUUUAAAAAAAAACCUUUGAGUCUAGUUAAUGAUAUAUUGACAAUCAUUUGAUUUGAAAUCUGAUAGACAAAAAUGAUUAUGAUCUCUUGAAAUUAAAAGUAAAUCAUCUCUCUAUAUACUUUUUAUGAGUUUGCAACCAAAAUAUGUUAAAAGAAGUGAACAAGCUUGUUGCAUGUUCUAUAGUAUAUAGUUUGACUAGAGGGGUGCACCCUAUGGUGUGGCAUAUAAAACGAGGAGCUAGUAGGAAUGGAAAUGGGACUUGGCAGGCAUUUAAUCUUUCGCCUUUGCUUUUCAAUAAAAAUUUAAUUCUUCUAAAAUUAU
RNAcentral lists this long non-coding RNA (363 nucleotides) under Amborella trichopoda. Its description in RNAcentral is "long non-coding RNA (ATRI_LNC004953)". Lineage: Eukaryota; Viridiplantae; Streptophyta; Magnoliopsida; Amborellales; Amborellaceae. The record is from RNAcentral.